RNAcentral lists this ribosomal RNA (522 nucleotides) under uncultured bacterium. Its description in RNAcentral is "bacterial SSU rRNA". It matches the Rfam family "Bacterial small subunit ribosomal RNA", at positions 8 to 525 of the family's 1533-position model. The record is from RNAcentral.
AGAGUUUGAUCCUGGCUCAGAUUGAACGCUGGCGGCAGGCUUAACACAUGCAAGUCGAGCGGAGAUGAGGUGCUUGCACCUUAUCUUAGCGGCGGACGGGUGAGUAAUGCUUAGGAAUCUGCCUAUUAGUGGGGGACAACAUUUCGAAAGGAAUGCUAAUACCGCAUACGCCCUACGGGGGAAAGCAGGGGAUCUUCGGACCUUGCGCUAAUAGAUGAGCCUAAGUCGGAUUAGCUAGUUGGUGGGGUAAAGGCCUACCAAGGCGACGAUCUGUAGCGGGUCUGAGAGGAUGAUCCGCCACACUGGGACUGAGACACGGCCCAGACUCCUACGGGAGGCAGCAGUGGGGAAUAUUGGACAAUGGGCGAAAGCCUGAUCCAGCCAUGCCGCGUGUGUGAAGAAGGUCUUCGGAUUGUAAAGCACUUUAAGUUGGGAGGAAAGGUAGUAACUUAAUACGUUGCUACUUUGACGUUACCGACAGAAUAAGCACCGGCUAACUUCGUGCCAGCAGCCGCGGUAAUA